Molecule: non-coding RNA, 1821 nt
Organism: Oryzias latipes (Japanese medaka)
Lineage: Eukaryota; Metazoa; Chordata; Actinopteri; Beloniformes; Adrianichthyidae
Source: RefSeq, a predicted model, not a curated record
AAGACCACCAAUAAUCUCCCUCCAUCUGGGGCAUCUGCAAGAUCUCACCCUGUAGGGUCAAAAUCCUCACAAGAAAGGUGAGCAAAAUCCCAGAACCUCAAGGGGGGACCUAGUGAAUGACCUACAGCUGGGACCAAAGUAACAAAAGCUACCAUCAGUAACACACUAGAACUGCCAGGGAAUCAAACCCUAAAGACCCUCUGUUAUAAACCAGUACAGGUCCAGUCUUGUCUGAGGUUUCUUGAUGAUCCAGAAGAGUAUUGGGAGAAGGUCAAAUGGUCAGAUAAAAACCAUGUCAGUUGAAAGUCCCCAGCAACAGCCCCAAAACACCACACUUCUAGAGGAGAUCCGCAUGGAGGAAUGGACCAAAAUACCAACAGCGGUUUGUGAAAACCUGCAAAAACCAAAAAGCCCAAUGUCAUUACCAAAAAGGGAUCACAAGUGGCACAUACUUGUGUGACAGACAGGGCUGUGGGUGGUAGUUUGUCCCUCAUGGUGUUCCAUGGAUGAACAUUCAUGGCCAGCACCUGUCUGUUGAGCUGUGAUUGGCUCACAAGGCUGAUAAACAGCAGCAGUGGGAGUUCCAUCUAGGUGCUGGUUUCCUGGUUUGGCCUUGGUGGGUGAGCUUGACAUGUGGACCUUUUUUACUAAAGCUUUUAAUCAUUUGAGUCCUUUUAAAGUUUUUAAGCAUUUGAGUUUGCAAGAUUUUAAACUCUAUUCAUAUUAACAGGUGGUGGCAUGAGUUCUGACCCUGGGGCAUGAGAGGUAAAAUAAGGGUUUGCAAAACAUGUGUUUGUCCCAGGGGAGAACUAACUUAUUUUUCUUUUUCCAGCAGAGUUGCCACUGCUGUUUUGCUUAGUGUUUUUAGUCAUUGUUUUUAAUGUUUUAAUCAAGCUUGACACCCUUGCUUUUAUCCAUUUUUAAACUGUUGUGCUCAUUUUUAGUAUCUUGGUGUCUGGACCUGGCUGAGGGUGGCUGCCUCCUCCUUUUAUCCUUAUGGUAGCUGGUACUCCUGGUGAGAGUUGGAUCAGAGAUCUCCCUUGGUGGUGUUGGUGGCUACCCGCCGGUGCAGUGGGACUGAGGCGAUCCUGGAGGCAGCCGCCCUCAUGCAGUGUUGGAGUGCGGUCCAACUGUCCGAGCCCAUUUUAACUUUCUCUUUUAUUGAACUUGUGUCAAGUUUUUAAUGUUUUUAACCUAUCAAAUCCAGUCUCCGUUUGGGUUACAAAUGUAAGAGGGCGUUCGGUCACACUUGCAUAGCUCUUUUCUACCUUCCUUGAAGGCCCUAAGCGCUUUGAAGUCCCAUUCACACACUAAUGUGUGGUGGGGUUAAGUGUCAUGCCCAAAGACACUUCGACACAUGGUCGAGUGUUGGAGUUUGUGUUGGUAUCAUUUGCUCACCUGCUGUUAUCACCCUAACAUGAUUGUCUCUCAGUUCUGUCUUUCAGUGAGAAAACACGGACAUGUGAAGUGAUGAUUAUACAAGAGAUGGUGUUUCUGUUCUGACUGAUUGAAAAGCCACUUUCACGUAAUCAACCCCGGCCUACAAUAAAUACAGACUCCAUACACCGUGAAAGCGGGACUCCUCUAUUCCAGUUUGCACUGUGACAGACGGGUUCUCCUUUUGCAGAUGUCUAACAAAAAUUCUUGCUUCCUGUGUGGUUCCUCUCUUUGUUAAGGAAUAGUCAAAACCCCGACAGCAAGCAAGGUGGGAAUCAAACCUGCAAUCGUCUGAUCAGAGGUCGACCACCCUAUCAAUGCUUAACAAAGUACUAGUAAUAAUAUGAAUUUUUGUUAUUGAAUAAAUAUUUAUUUUCCACUAAA